This 384-nucleotide unclassified non-coding RNA is filed under the name plant metagenome. RNAcentral's name for it is "partial contains small subunit ribosomal RNA, internal transcribed spacer 1, and 5.8S ribosomal RNA". The record is from RNAcentral.
UUUCCGUAGGUGAACCUGCGGAAGGAUCAUUGGAGAAAGUAUAGUGUGUGAGAGAGGGAGAGGGAGGGAGGAAGAGAGAGGGUUCUUUCUGUCCUCUGUCUCUCUCUUCUUUUGCAUACAACCAACCCCACAUGUGAACGUGCCAUGUGAUGUGGAGUGGAGGAGGAGAAAGAAGGAAAGAUUUUUGACGAUCUUUCUUUUGCUUCUCUUCGGUUCAUCCGCUCUGCAUUCCGUGAUCAACAAAACCCUUUUUUUGUUUCUUUUUAUGGCGACACGGAAGCAGAGGAAAGAGAAGAGGCUUUUCUCCAACUCUCGUUUGCUGUCACUAUAAAUAACUUUUAUAUAUAAAGAAAACAACUUUUAACAAUGGAUCUCUUGGCUCUC